GCAUGCACUCAUGGUUGGGCCCUGUCAUACUUCUCGGCUAGCGGCAUAUACAUAGGCUGUAUUAUAUAGUAGGUAUGGCUGAACCGUGAUGAACCAUAAUCAAAUUGAUUCAUAAAUCUGGUAAAGGUAUACAUCAAAAGAUGCACGACUUCAAGAAAGGAAGUGAAAAAGGAUGUCUUCUGCUAUGGUGUGUAUAAUGUUGUUUAAUGGAAGGGGCAGACGCUUUGUUCUUCCCUAUGCUAGACUGUGAGGCACUUACAAUGGCUCGAUACAGAUGGCUUCCGCCUUUCUCUGCCGGUAGUAUGCUUAAUUGUGAGGCUGAUUCUUGGGAUUAAACUAAUCACGGAGAUUUGUUCGGGCAUUUGUGCGCCUGGCUGUGAUUAAUCAUGGACUAAAAGAUGAGCCCACAGAUCACCACUCCCGGUGCGGCUCCAUGUAUACCAUCAGAUCAUCAGUAAUACUGUAUUCUUUUCUGUACUUUUUUUGUCCCUCCUGUAUACUCUGUAACAUGGUUGCACAACUCAUAACAAAUGGAUGGUUAUAGAGAGCCAGGAAGAGAACACUAAAUGGUUUUUGAAGGAUCUACAUCGGCCUGUUCAGCCGGCCUGAACAAUGUUUUUUUUU
This is a long non-coding RNA of Lolium rigidum, 624 nucleotides long. RefSeq lists it as uncharacterized. The record is from RefSeq and is a predicted model, not a curated record. The transcript is spliced from 2 exons. NCBI's taxonomy places the organism in Eukaryota, Viridiplantae, Streptophyta, Magnoliopsida, Poales, Poaceae.